GAUGAACGCUGGCGGCGUGCCUAAUACAUGCAAGUCGAGCGAAUGGAUUAAGAGCUUGCUCUUAUGAAGUUAGCGGCGGACGGGUGAGUAACACGUGGGUAACCUGCCCAUAAGACUGGGAUAACUCCGGGAAACCGGGGCUAAUACCGGAUAACAUUUUGAACCGCAUGGUUCGAAAUUGAAAGGCGGCUUCGGCUGUCACUUAUGGAUGGACCCGCGUCGCAUUAGCUAGUUGGUGAGGUAACGGCUCACCAAGGCAACGAUGCGUAGCCGAGCUGAGAGGGUGAUCGGCCACACAGGGACUGAGACACGGCCCAGACUCCUACGGGAGGCAGCAGUAGGGAAUCUUCCGCAAUGGACGAAAGUCUGACGGAGCAACGCCGCGUGAGUGAUGAAGGCUUUCGGGUCGUAAAACUCUGUUGUUAGGGAAGAACAAGUGCUAGUUGAAUAAGCUGACACCUUGACGGUACCUAACCAGAAAGCCACGGCUAACUACGUGCCAGCAGCCGCAGUAA
RNAcentral lists this ribosomal RNA (515 nucleotides) under uncultured bacterium. Its description in RNAcentral is "partial 16S ribosomal RNA". It matches the Rfam family "Bacterial small subunit ribosomal RNA", at positions 28 to 523 of the family's 1533-position model. The record is from RNAcentral.